Coffea eugenioides is the source of this 249-nucleotide long non-coding RNA. RefSeq lists it as uncharacterized. NCBI's taxonomy places the organism in Eukaryota, Viridiplantae, Streptophyta, Magnoliopsida, Gentianales, Rubiaceae. The record is from RefSeq and is a predicted model, not a curated record. The transcript has 3 exons.
GUAAACAACCCACUUGAAGGAGUUGGUGAAGAGCACAAUCUCGAUCAAAGUUUGGAAUUCUAGACUCUUCACUUGAGGUUCUGAAUUGCAUGAAGUCUUGGAGAACUAGAAAAGAAAUGUUAUAUUUUGAAUGCCCACUUUUGUAUUUGUACUUUGGGAAAACUUUAGUAUCUUUUGGAUGACUUUUGUGUCUUUGGGAAAAUGUGAAUCCUGUGGUGCUUCUGUGCCCUGGAUUAGGAAUUUUAAAUU